This 91-nucleotide transfer RNA is filed under the name Dreissena polymorpha. It matches the Rfam family "tRNA". Rfam says of the family: Transfer RNA (tRNA) molecules are approximately 80 nucleotides in length. Their secondary structure includes four short double-helical elements and three loops (D, anti-codon, and T loops). The record is from Rfam by way of RNAcentral. Lineage: Eukaryota; Metazoa; Mollusca; Bivalvia; Myida; Dreissenidae.
GCCGGAAUAGCUCAGUUGGGAGAGCGUUAGACUGAAGUUGUUUACGCAACAGUCAUCUAAAGACCCCCCGGUUCAAUCCCGGGUUCCGGCA